GAUGAACGCUGGCGGCGUGCCUAAUACAUGCAAGUCGAGCGAACGGACGAGAAGCUUGCUUCUCUGAUGUUAGCGGCGGACGGGUGAGUAACACGUGGAUAACCUACCUAUAAGACUGGGAUAACUUCGGGAAACCGGAGCUAAUACCGGAUAAUAUUUUGAACCGAAUGGUUCAAAAGUGAAAGACGGUCUUGCUGUCACUUAUAGAUGGAUCCGCGCUGCAUUAGCUAGUUGGUAAGGUAACGGCUUACCAAGGCAACGAUGCAUAGCCGACCUGAGAGGGGGAUCGCCCACACUGGAACAGAGAAACGGGCCAGACUCCUACGGGAGGCAGCAGUAGGGAAUCUUCCGCAAUGGGCGAAAGCCUGACGGAGCAACGCCGCGUGAGUGAUGAAGGUCUUCGGAUCGUAAAACUCUGUUAUUAGGGAAGAACAUAUGUGUAAGUAACUGUGCACAUCUUGACGGUACCUAAUCAGAAAGCCACGGCUAACUACGUG
Molecule: ribosomal RNA, 497 nt
Filed under: uncultured bacterium
Lineage: Bacteria
Description: partial 16S ribosomal RNA
Rfam family: Bacterial small subunit ribosomal RNA
Source: RNAcentral